Molecule: transfer RNA, 1054 nt
Filed under: Rhizobium leguminosarum bv. trifolii
Lineage: Bacteria; Pseudomonadati; Pseudomonadota; Alphaproteobacteria; Hyphomicrobiales; Rhizobiaceae
Description: partial contains 16S ribosomal RNA, 16S-23S ribosomal RNA intergenic spacer, and 23S ribosomal RNA
Rfam family: tRNA (bases 184-257)
Source: RNAcentral
UCCUCGGACAUGGCCCGAUAUGAACCUUCCCGUGCUUUUUAGAACAUAGAUGGCACCAGUCAGGUGACUAUCGAAACGUAAUACGCCGCGAUGACUUCGGUCACGACGGUAUGGCGAGCUUUCGCCGUCCACGUUUCUCUUUCUUCAAGAAGACAAAAAACCGCGUCGACCGGUUCCCCGAAUGGGCCCGUAGCUCAGUUGGUUAGAGCACACGCUUGAUAAGCGUGGGGUCGGAAGUUCAAGUCUUCCCGGGCCCACCAUUUGCACCAGCAAAUGAAAUUUGCUGUAGCGAAUGAGGGUUGAGGGAUGAUGGAAUGUCAGGCGAUGCGGAUUGUUGCCGAACCUUGGGGUCUUGCCCCUGGGUGAUCGAGCUGGAGGGGCUGUAGCUCAGCUGGGAGAGCACCUGCUUUGCAAGCAGGGGGUCAGCGGUUCGAUCCCGCUCAGCUCCACCAAAUCGAUUGGUGUUGAAGCUGACGGCAUUUGUCUUUUGAAGAAAUAAAAGUUUUGCACUGGCUUCGAGCUGGUGCCUGUUCUGCAUACAUUGUGAAGAGAAGAUUGAUCUGGAGGCUUCCAGGUGUUUUGGGUUUUGCCCAAGGCGUCCGAGCCCAGUUCCUGUGAAACCAUGGAUGGCCUAGCCGGCCGGAUGUGGUGGAGGGAUUGGAGGUAGGUAGGAAGCUUGUCACUCUGGAUCGUUUGUUGUUCGUUGCCUUUGGGCAUCGUCUGAUGAACGAUCGGAUUACCGUUGCCUGACCGCGCGGUAUCGGAUCCAAUCUCGAGAAGCUGGUCUUAAGACAGGCUGCAAGCGAGCUGCUCGGCGUAGCUCCAAUAAAGCAGACCUGUCGAACACGUCGAUGGCAUCAUGAAAUGAUCCGGUUGUAAAAGGUAACCGGAUUUUUGGACUGGCCGCACGGCAAUCGCAAGGUUGUCGGGAUGGUCGCAAGUCCAAAUAUGGAUGAGCAUUGGCAAUGAGAACGAUUAAGUGUCGUAAGGGCAUUUGGUGGAUGCCUUGGCAUGCACAGGCGAUGAAGGACGUGAUACGCUGCGAAAAGCCGUG